This 485-nucleotide ribosomal RNA is filed under the name uncultured bacterium. RNAcentral describes it as "bacterial SSU rRNA". It matches the Rfam family "Bacterial small subunit ribosomal RNA", at positions 28 to 526 of the family's 1533-position model. The record is from RNAcentral.
GAUGAACGCUGGCGGCGUGCUUAACACAUGCAAGUCGAACGAUGAAGCCCAGCUUGCUGGGUGGAUUAGUGGCGAACGGGUGAGUAACACGUGAGUAACCUGCCCUUGACUCUGGGAUAAGCCUGGGAAACUGGGUCUAAUACCGGAUAGGAGCGUCCACCGCAUGGUGGGUGUUGGAAAGAUUUUUCGGUCAUGGAUGGACUCGCGGCCUAUCAGCUUGUUGGUGAGGUAAUGGCUCACCAAGGCGACGACGGGUAGCCGGCCUGAGAGGGUGACCGGCCACACUGGGACUGAGACACGGCCCAGACUCCUACGGGAGGCAGCAGUGGGGAAUAUUGCACAAUGGGCGAAAGCCUGAUGCAGCGACGCCGCGUGAGGGAUGACGGCCUUCGGGUUGUAAACCUCUUUCAGUAGGGAAGAAGCGAAAGUGACGGUACCUGCAGAAGAAGCACCGGCUAACUACGUGCCAGCAGCCGCCGUAACAC